Molecule: ribosomal RNA, 439 nt
Filed under: uncultured bacterium
Lineage: Bacteria
Description: bacterial SSU rRNA
Rfam family: Bacterial small subunit ribosomal RNA
Source: RNAcentral
GAUGAACGCUGGCGGCGUGCUUAACACACGCAAGUCGAACGAAGCACCUUGGACAGAUUCUUCGGAUGAAGUCCUUAGUGACUGAGUGGCGGACGGGUGAGUAACGCGUGGGUAACCUGCCUCAUACAGGGGGAUAACAGUUAGAAAUGGCUGCUAAUACCGCAUAAGCGCACAGUACCGCAUGGUACGGUGUGAAAAACUCCGGUGGUAUGAGAUGGACCCGCGUUGGAUUAGCUAGUUGGCAGGGUAACGGCCUACCAAGGCGACGAUCCAUAGCCGGCCUGAGAGGGUGGACGGCCACAUUGGGACUGAGACACGGCCCAGACUCCUACGGGAGGCAGCAGUGGGGAAUAUUGCACAAUGGGGGAAACCCUGAUGCAGCGACGCCGCGUGAGCGAAGAAGUAUUUCGGUAUGUAAAGCUCUAUCAGCAGGGAAGAA